CACAACUCUCACUACCCCAUAAUAUUAGGAUCCUCCAACGCCAGCGCCACCUCUCGGGGCGGCUGCUUCAGUACCUCCACCGUCGCUCCUUUCUCAGGUUCACCUACCUUAGCAAUACCAGCCGCAGCCUCCGUUCGCCCACUAUGCUACAAGCCCUCCUCAACCUCAAGAUUACGUUCGAACCCUUUAUAUCGCAGGGCCUCCUGAAGACGUAAAACCUCGCGAGAUUUUCAACCUCUUUCGGGAAUUCCAUGGCUACCAGUCUACCCAGCUCAGGAGCUCCACCCAAAGUUCACAGGGACUGGUGUUUGACCUUGAGAAGAAGUCAACUUUGUAUAUAGAUCUUACAAAAUUGAAUUCAGAUCUAGGCGCUCAAGAACAGGUCUAUUGCAAGUUGAAUUUCUUCCGCUUAAAUUACUCAUUUUCCUUUUCAUUUAAAAGAAAAAUCUUCUCCAAUGUUGAUGCUGUCCUAAAACUAAGAAACAGAUGGGCUGGUUCUUCUGAAAAGGAAGUUAGGGGAGGGAUAUGCUGUAAUUCCUGGAAGAAUUCCUGACUCUGAUGCCAAACAGGUUUGGAGCUCCAGUUGCAUGUACUGUUUUGUAACCUCUACUGACUUGUUUUGAUUUGGAAAUAUCAGACUAUUGAUACUUCUUUGGCAUGUUAUUUCCAGAUAGUCUCUUAAAUGUUGUGCACUGGAUUACUUUGCAUGCAGGAUGUUGAUUGUUCUACCAGUGCUCUAAAUCAUCUUCAAUGAACUCCUCUUUGCUCAUUACUUGAUGGCAAGGGCACGCGCUUGAAAUAUCCUUUUGAACAGAGCUGGAGCUUCUUUAUCAAUUCUCACAAUUUCUUUCUGGUGUGGUUUCAUAUGGGUGUUCAUUUUUUUCUCAACAUCAAAUCUAUGUAUGGGAAUCACGAAUGGGGUUGCGUACGAAGCCGACAUAGAUGUAACAUAGAACUAGUGAAGGACGUAUUUCCAUCUACUAUUUCAUACACUGAUGAGAACGGACAUCAGAAGUUUAUGUGGCAGCAUUGGGAGAAUAGCUGUUUCAUGUGGAAAUCAAUGUAUAUUUGCGCAGGUGUAGGUGUAUUUCCUUUCUCAACCAUGGGAUCAGCCUAUUCAGUGCCAGUAUGAUUGGAGUGGCACUGACUGCUCCCUAACAAUGUGGUGACAUAUUUCAUUCUCUUGAUUUGGUGGGCAAAUGUGUCACAGAUUUGAGCAUGGAAAUUAUACAGAGGAAUAUUUUUCCUGUUCUAUUAUUAGAAUUCAGGUUUUGGAAACCAACAUUGCUUCUGUUAUUGUAGUAAUUACUUUUAUAUAUCAUAAAAUGUUUCCAA
Telopea speciosissima is the source of this 1335-nucleotide long non-coding RNA. RefSeq lists it as uncharacterized. The transcript is spliced from 3 exons. NCBI's taxonomy places the organism in Eukaryota, Viridiplantae, Streptophyta, Magnoliopsida, Proteales, Proteaceae. The record is from RefSeq and is a predicted model, not a curated record.